ACGUGUAGUUGAGGCUCUGAGAUUCGUGGACAUUGGUGUUAGCCUUGUCGAGAGAGAUUCUCACAAGCGUUCAGAGUUAUGACCAGCAAUAGGAUAUGUUUUGGGUAGUAAUAGGUCAAGAGUCUUGGUGUAGAAUUUUAUUUUGAGUUGAAGAUAAAUUCAAUAUUUUGUAAUUACUAUAUUCUUAAUUAUUAAUUUCGAGAGAUCUAUGAUUUUAAUGUUUCA
RNAcentral lists this long non-coding RNA (225 nucleotides) under Trifolium pratense (red clover). RNAcentral's name for it is "long non-coding RNA (TPRA_LNC005709)". Lineage: Eukaryota; Viridiplantae; Streptophyta; Magnoliopsida; Fabales; Fabaceae. The record is from RNAcentral.